This 111-nucleotide ribosomal RNA is filed under the name Acanthosepion pharaonis. Lineage: Eukaryota; Metazoa; Mollusca; Cephalopoda; Sepiida; Sepiidae. The record is from RNAcentral.
CAGCCACAACAAUUUGAAACCCUGGUUCCCAUAUGAUCACUGAAGUUAAGCAAUGUCAAUCAUGGCCAGUACCUAGAUGGGUGAUUGCUCGGGAAUACCAGGUGCUGUAAG